UUUAACAAACUUCUAACAAAAAACCCAGAUAUGUACACAAUGACUUUAGUUCACAAUGCAUUACAGUCAAUUAUCAAUAUCACCUUUCAAUCAUAUUUAUAAACAGUUACAUUGACUCAUUGCAUUACUAUGUCAAAAUAAUCUCUAAACAAUUCAACCAAUUUCAAACAAUCUCAAACUACUUCAAAACAGUUUCAAAUAAAUUUCAAGAGAGGUUUCAACACAACACAUUAGCUAGGUUGAUGCGAUAUAUCAAUAUAUCUUUGAUAAAUAUCGA
RNAcentral lists this long non-coding RNA (277 nucleotides) under Paramuricea clavata. The record is from RNAcentral. Lineage: Eukaryota; Metazoa; Cnidaria; Anthozoa; Malacalcyonacea; Plexauridae.